CACACCGCCCGUCACACCAUGGGAGUCAGUUGCUCCAGAAACGGCUGCGCUAACCCGCAAGGGAGGCAGGUCUUUAAGGAGUGACUGGUAACUGGGUG
RNAcentral lists this ribosomal RNA (98 nucleotides) under uncultured bacterium. RNAcentral's name for it is "partial 16S ribosomal RNA". It matches the Rfam family "Bacterial small subunit ribosomal RNA", at positions 1386 to 1482 of the family's 1533-position model. The record is from RNAcentral.